This 253-nucleotide ribosomal RNA is filed under the name uncultured bacterium. RNAcentral's name for it is "partial 16S ribosomal RNA". It matches the Rfam family "Bacterial small subunit ribosomal RNA", at positions 524 to 776 of the family's 1533-position model. RNAcentral also lists the same sequence under 1 other name. The record is from RNAcentral.
UACGUAGGGUGCGAGCGUUAAUCGGAAUUACUGGGCGUAAAGCGUGCGCAGGCGGUUCGUUGUGUCGGCGGUGAAAGCCCCGGGCUCAACCUGGGAAUGGCCGUUGAAACUGGCGAACUGGAGUGUGGCAGAGGGGGGUGGAAUUCCGCGUGUAGCAGUGAAAUGCGUAGAGAUGCGGAGGAACACCGAUGGCGAAGGCAGCCCCCUGGGCUGACACUGACGCUCAGGCACGAAAGCGUGGGGAGCAAACAGG